CAGGGUUUGUGAGGGGGAGAGAGGUGAGAUGUGGAUUGCAAGAAGUAGUCUGUGGCCGAUUAUAUCAGGCUUUGGAGGUUUUUUAUAAGGAUCUGGCUUUUAUCCUAAAUAAGCUAGGGAGCCAAUGAAGGGUUUUGAGCAGAGAAGUGUCAUGAUCUAAAUCAUAUGUUUAAAGCAUCAGACUGGCUGCUGUGUUGAGAAUAAACUGGUGGGCUAAGGCAGCAGGAGGGAGACCAGCUAGGAGGUGAUUGCAGGAAGUCAAGCAAGUGAUAAUGGGCUUGUACCCAGCUAGUGGGGUUCCAGUUAGUGAUGUUGAAAGUGUUGAAAAGUGUUCCGUUUCUGCUUUUUUUUAAAUGUGAAACCAACAGGACAUGCCAGUGAUUAUAAAGCAUAUGAUGAUGAUAUAGGAUAAAGGAAGAGAGGAGUUAAUUAAAUAUGACACUGAUGUUUUUAUCCUGAACAAAUGGAAGGAAGGAAUUGCUGAAAUAGAGACGUCUCUGAAGAGCAGAAGCUGUUUUGAACAUUGCAGUUUGAAAUACCUAUUAGACCUCUGCUUGGAGAUCCCAAACAGGAUCUAAGCAAUGGGAAGAAAGAAGUUGGCUGAAGAAAUGAUGGAAAUUAAUUAUAUAAUUGAAGAAAAAGAAGUCAAGGCACUGAGAGCAUGUUCAGUUGGCAGAAAUUCCAUGACAGCAUCUACAAGGGCAUAUUGGAGAGAGUGAGGGUAAGCUUGGAGUUUUCGCUCGUUGAACUUGUUCUCGUGAGCCUAUGAAUCUGGAGAAUCUUAUCCUUCUGUUCUAGGGAAGUUUUAAAAUCCUUUCUUUUAUAAUUUCUCCCCUCUGUUUUCUACAUUUUGUCUUUCUUAAAGUCCUGUUAGUAAAUGAUGGUCUCCUAGUUCAAUUACCUGAUUUACUUGACUCUUCCAUUUUUCCAUCCCUUUGUCUUUUUACUUAGUUUCUUGAAGACUUACCUUCCAGCCCUUUUAUUGAAUCUGUUAUUUCUGUUACCCUAUUUUCAUUUACCAAGAAUGAUUUCUUAUGCUCUACAUACUCCUUUUUUCAUGUAACCACACAUUCUUAUUUUGCAGAUGUAACAUUUUAUCUUUUUUUUGAGGUCAAUAAUAUGUUUAAGUGUUCUUUUCACUGCACUUUUUGUUACUCCAAGUUGCCUUUAUUCAUUUAUUUGUUUAUUUUAAUCUUUAAUAUUUUAUGUUGGAGACUUUCCUCACAUGUCUGGUGAUACUUGAUUGUUCACACUUAAGAGUGAGGCACUUAAAAAGCAAAUGGGAAGCUUUGUGUGUAUUUGCAGUGUUUGUCAAUUGCUACUGUUUACUGGAGAGCAAUCAGUCAGGCACCUGGUCAUUUCACUGGGAGACUUAAAAAUGUCAGUAUAUAAGUCUUUUCUCCAAUCAGUUGGUUUUGUCAAAGGGGACUCUUCCAAUUCCCUGCCUAGGGAAUAUAAAUCUAGUUGCCAGUGCCCUAACUGCAAGUGAGGGAAAAAGGGUGGGAGUCUCACUAAUUAGUAUAUGGCAUGUAGACUUGACCUUGAUCAUCCUUUUUCAGCCUUACUCCUAUCCUCUACAAAACAUGGUAUCAUUGGGUCUGAAAAUCCCUGGCUCUAUUUCCCUAGAAAUUAAACCAGUUGCCUGCUGGGCUGGUUGGUGUACAGAAGAGGAGAAGGAUUCUGAGGGGUCAUCUCCAAUCCCAUUUUUUUUCAGCCCCAGCCUGCAUCCCUUUCUACAGAAGUAACAACAAUUUCCAGUUUCUGAGCCUUUCCAGGGUUGUACAGUAGGUAUUCAUUUGCUUUUUGAUAUUUUCCACAGCAAAGCAAACUUUCUUGCUGCUCUGUUAACUUCGUUACCACUCACCCGUCUGCCUUCUGUCUUCCAACAUUUUGUUGCUAGCUCUUGUCUGCUGUUGCCUCUUCUGUUCUCUUUAUCCUUCCAGGUUUUAUAAGAUUGUUUUUAUUCCUUUUCAGUCAUUUCAGAGAGGCUUCAGGAUGGAGUUGUGAUAAACGCAUGUGUUCAGUCUACAAUGUUUAACAGGGAGUGCCUCUUGAUUUUUUCAUGUGAAUUACUGAGGAGUAGGUAGUAGACUAUCUUGAUGCCCUUCCUCAUGUCCCUUUGACUCUGAGUUGACCUGCAGCUGCAGUGAACACUUCCUAAGGAUGCUGAUGUCUUCCCCUAUCAAGCACUUGCCUCAUUCUGCUUCUCCGAGGAUUUCCUCCAGUACACCAAGAGCUUGCCCGACACUCACAAGGUAUCCUGGAACUGCUGGGGACUGAAAACCCCUCAACCCAUGAAGAAUGAGGAUCAGUGGAUUAAUAGCAACUGUCCCAUACCUUGGUGGGACUAUUAUAAGGCAUUCUGGUUGGUUCCUCAGAGGUCCCAAAUGGGAUUGAACCAAAGUUGCCCACAGUAAAAACUCAUUCACCAACUCAAUUUUCAUUUCACCCCUCUCAAUUUGCACACUCACUCACUUGUUCUACCUGGGAUACUCUCCAAGAUAAACUCCUGUAUCCAAAGCUUUGUCUCAAGGUCUCAUUUGGGAGGAACUCAAACUAAGAUAAUAGGUACUGGAAGUGACUACAGAAAGUAUAUUAUCAAUGGUAUGGAGGCAACAAAAACCCCAUUAAUGGUGGUGAGUAAGGUGGUGACAAACCCUGGCACUUUGAAGAAUUUCAUUACCCACAAUUGACCCAUGGUGUACUUGGAUGAGGUAAAAAUGAAAGGAGACGCUAACCUUAUGCAAUAGUGCUAACUCCUGAAAGAUAUAGGGCUGUGAUAAUCACAGGAAUUGAAGAGUUGUCUUGUUCUUGUUAACUCCCCUAGAAGAAUUGGGAAAAAAGAAAGAUAGGUUUACAACAUCCAACUACCCAUUCAGAGCAUAGCAAUGAAAGCCAGAAGGUCUCCUUGGGAGAAUCUGAAGAGACCCCCAUUUCCUGCAACCAGAGGGCAGGCUGUUCUAAAAAAAUGACAUUCAGGGGUUCACUGCAAGAGGAAUUGAACUACAGAGCAGACUGAAGACACAGUCCAGGCAGGCCUCUCAUGCAAAAGUCAAAGCCCUAGAGGAAGGAAAUGGUCCUUAAAAACUACUGGGAUGCAGGCAGGCAUCUGGAUAGAUGUGCUAGAUAACCUUGAACCCCUAGAUUCCCUGAACAACCCAGGCUAGCAGGAGUAUCCUGCACCCUGUUACUUGAACAGAACAGCUUCCCUUUGCCUAGAGACUCUACACAGUCCUCCUCUGAAGCAGACACCUCCAAGAUUACUUCAAGGUCUGCUACUUCCUGCCCUCAUUGCCUCUAUUCCAAAAACUGGAAACAAGUCUCAGCAUGCCCUGAGCAGGGUAGCACAUUUCUUGCUGUGAGAGAUAUGACAGAUUGUAUUUUCUAAAGAAGGCUGCAACCAUGUCUCUCAUCCCAAAUGCUCUUCUACAAUGCAAUCUUGUCACUCCUCUACCAAGAGAUGAAACCUAAUUUCAAUGCCCUUGAAUCUAAGCUGGACUUUACUUGCUUUGACCUGUAAUGUACAGAAGUGACACUGUGUGAUUCUUACAGCUGAGUCAUAAAAGGUGAUGCAGCUUCUGCCUUGUUCCUGGGGACAUAUGCCUCUGUGAGAUUGAGCUACUAAAUAACAAGACCACCUACCUUGAGGCUGCCAUGCUGGAAGAAAGCAAAGCCACAUGAAGAGCAAGUAAGCUGGUUGCUUUAGCAAGAUCCUUCAUAUUGAUAGUGAAUGUGCACUUCUGUCUUUCUCUUGUGAAUGCAAACCACUUUUUCAAUAGUCUCACGUUAAGUGCCAAAGAUUGUUGUUUUUGUUGAAUGCAUUCUCUUUAUCAUUCACUACCUGGCCCUAGGAAUUUGUUCAAUGAUCCUCAUUUCUGUUACAAUAUAGUCUUCAGUGACCUUGAUCAUCUUCACAUUCUAUAGAACAUCAUCCUGGCCCAUUAUAUUAAUGACAGAAUAAUAAUUGAACUUGGUUUUUAGGAAGGAGCAAGUAUACUGGUUUUAAAUACUUCAUGCUGAAGGAAUGAGAGAUAAGCCCUACAAAGUUUUGGAAGUCUGCCACAUCAGGGAAUAUUUUAGGGGCCCAAAGAUCCAGGGGUAUGUUGAGACACCCUACUCAAAAGAAUACUUUACAUUUCCUACCACUAAGACAGAGGCACAGCACUUGGUGAGCUGCUUUGAAUUCCUGAGGCAAAAAAAUAACAAUAAUAAAUACUACCCAUGAGAAUAAUGCUCUGAUCUAUUGUAUCAGAAGACUAUUGACUUUGCGGGGGUCUGAGAGAGUAUCUGAAUAGCCUUUUAAAGACUUAAAAAGGCAUUGGCUUAGGAAUUGCACCUUGCAUGGCUAGGUCAUUGUCCUCGAGGAUACAGCAUAUUUGUUGAACCAGUGAUCACUAUAUGCAAUCACUGUGCUGUUUUCCCAGCAUUUGGAAUACACAGGAAUGAUAAUUAAAGGAUACAAGUAGGACUGACUUAAACACACUCCCUUUCACCCAUUAGUGGAAAUUAUGUUUUUAAUUCUUACAACUUUAGGCUCUUCCUGAUUAAAAGCCUUGGUCUCAAGGUGUGUGUACAGACGGAGACAGUAAGUGUUCCACUGCAUCAAUGCAGUGCCAUCUGAGGAUUUGGGCAUCUCCAUACUGACAGGUCAGCAGGCAAAAAUGGGAGUACUAUACUGGCAGGGACACCUGACUGAUUAUCUUGAAGAGUCGGAGUUGCUGCUACAUAAUGGGCCCAGGGAGGAAGAUGUCUAGAACUUGGGGGAAUCACUCAGGCCCCCCUUAGUGCUUCUUUGUCUGGCGAUAAUAGCAGAGAAGCAAUUGAAGUAGCCAUGUCCUCACAAGGGCAAGGUAAUCAAGGCCCAGCCACUCAGAGAUGAAGGUCUGGUCAUACACUGAGCAAGCAAUGAUGACUAGUGGAAGUGCUAGCCAAGGAUUCGGGAAAUCUAGAAGAAGUGGAAUUGGAGAGAGAUGAUGAGUAUAGAUUAUAGCCUUGGGACCAGCUGCAGCAGUGAAGAUUGUGACUUGUUCCACAUAUUCUUCUAUUUUCAGUCAUUUUUGGAGAUUGCAGCCAGCUACAACUCUGAAAUGUCAGUAACAGAGCAAACUAAGGGUGGGCAUGAGAGGAUCUGCUGAGAGCAAGGAAUGAACAUGGUAGUCACUAAUGAUACACUGCCCAUGUUCCCCGGCUCACCUGUUAGCUCCCCGGCAGCUUGCAAACAUGUCUAUACACACUGCCAUCUUCCUACCACGAGUGCCAUAACUCUCUGCUUCUCUGCUGAGGCCCUUCUCAGCUCACAGUGCGAGUAGCCUGCAAGUGCUAAGGGCAUAAUGCCUCCAAGGUCAACUUUAAUCAACGAGGUUCAAGAGUCAGAAGAGUGAAUUCCUUCUGAGAUACAUUCUUUCUGGUUUCUCAGAGGCUCCCCAGAGGAAGUAGGCCCCAGUUGCUUAGGAAAAAUGGAACCUACUUAUUAAGGCACCCCCUUUUUACUUUUCUCCUUUCUUUCUCUCCCUUUCCCCACUCCAUUCCGUGAAGUUCCUGGGAUCACCAAAUAAACUAUCUGUAAUCAAA
This 5571-nucleotide long non-coding RNA is filed under the name Homo sapiens (human). RNAcentral's name for it is "HSALNT0322744". The record is from RNAcentral. Lineage: Eukaryota; Metazoa; Chordata; Mammalia; Primates; Hominidae.